Molecule: long non-coding RNA, 689 nt
Filed under: Felis catus (domestic cat)
Lineage: Eukaryota; Metazoa; Chordata; Mammalia; Carnivora; Felidae
Description: lncRNA (ENSFCAG00000040540.2)
Source: RNAcentral
UUGCAGCUGUGGCGUUAGCCUUGAGCUGAAAGAGAACACAGAAGAUACAGUCAACUGACACCGUGAGGAAAUAAUCAGGCAGAUUCAGAGCACACUGCAUGGACUCUUUGGGCCCUUUGAAGAACUCAGGCUUUACAAAAGUUAACCUCAUGAAAAAUUAAAGGACAAGUCAACAUCCAUGUGAACGUACACAAUGAUCCCCAGGCAGAAAAAGAUUCCGCUGAGCCAACAGAUAGCUGUGAUUCCGUUAGUGGUAGUGAAAGUCGUCCUACACAACAACCCUCCUCUCUCUUGUCUCCCUCACACCGGCCACGAAGGUUUUCAAAGUGACUCCUUUUCACCUGGCCACUUCAGCCAAAUUACUCAAACGGGAGCCCUAUGCAGACGCACAGAAAGCAUCCUGGAAAGGGAAAAUUUUUACAAGGAGAGAGGGAAAUGAAUCCAGUAGAGAUUCUAAUGUGCCUUUCUUCCUAGCCACAGGGGAAAGCAUUUAUAUCUUCUCAAACAUAAUUACCUUCCUGGUGUUUAAUGAAUUCAACUUUAAUUCAUGCCAUCCAAUUUAAAUCUGCGAAAAUUCUAGACGUGGGGGAAACUUCCUUCUUGCGUUUGUUGGUCUGGUAUAUAAAAGUAAAGCUUUAAAUGUCUAGAGAUUAUUGAUUUGGUUGUUUACUGGGAGAAGUCCAGCGGGG